Molecule: ribosomal RNA, 401 nt
Filed under: Rhizobium sp. R-46039=B1004
Lineage: Bacteria; Pseudomonadati; Pseudomonadota; Alphaproteobacteria; Hyphomicrobiales; Rhizobiaceae
Description: bacterial SSU rRNA
Rfam family: Bacterial small subunit ribosomal RNA
Source: RNAcentral
UGGCUCAGAACGAACGCUGGCGGCAGGCUUAACACAUGCAAGUCGAGCGCCCCGCAAGGGGAGCGGCAGACGGGUGAGUAACGCGUGGGAAUCUACCCAUCCCUACGGAACAACUCCGGGAAACUGGAGCUAAUACCGUAUACGCCCUUCGGGGGAAAGAUUUAUCGGGGAUGGAUGAGCCCGCGUUGGAUUAGCUAGUUGGUGGGGUAAAGGCCUACCAAGGCGACGAUCCAUAGCUGGUCUGAGAGGAUGAUCAGCCACAUUGGGACUGAGACACGGCCCAAACUCCUACGGGAGGCAGCAGUGGGGAAUAUUGGACAAUGGGCGCAAGCCUGAUCCAGCCAUGCCGCGUGAGUGAUGAAGGUCUUAGGAUUGUAAAGCUCUUUCACCGGAGAAGAUAA